This 496-nucleotide ribosomal RNA is filed under the name uncultured bacterium. RNAcentral describes it as "partial 16S ribosomal RNA". It matches the Rfam family "Bacterial small subunit ribosomal RNA", at positions 29 to 507 of the family's 1533-position model. The record is from RNAcentral.
AUGCACGCUGGCGGCGUGCCUAAUACAUGCCAGUCGAGCGCACAGACGAGGAGCUUGCUCCUCUGACGUUAGCGGCGGACGGGUGAGUAACACGUGGAUAACCUACCUAUAAGACUGGGAUAACUUCGGGAAACCGGAGCUAAUACCGGAUAAUAUAUUGAACCGCAUGGUUCAAUAGUGAAAGACGGUUUUGCUGUCACUUAUAGAUGGAUCCGCGCCGCAUUAGCUAGUUGGUAAGGUAACGGCUUACCAAGGCAACGAUGCGUAGCCGACCUGAGAGGGUGAUCGGCCACACUGGAACUGAGACACGGUCCAGACUCCUACGGGAGGCAGCAGUAGGGAAUCUUCCGCAAUGGGCGAAAGCUUGACGGAGCAACGCCGCGUGAGUGAUGAAGGUCUUCGGAUCGUAAAACUCUGUUAUUAGGGAAGAACAAAUGUGUAAGUAACUAUGCACGUCUUGACGGUACCUAAUCAGAAAGCCACGGCUAACUACGUG